This 119-nucleotide ribosomal RNA is filed under the name Triticum aestivum (bread wheat). The record is from RNAcentral. Lineage: Eukaryota; Viridiplantae; Streptophyta; Magnoliopsida; Poales; Poaceae.
GGAUGCGAUCAUACCAGCACUAAAGCACCGUAUCGCAUCAGAACUCCGAAGUUAAGCGUGCUUGGGCGAGAGUAGUACUAGGAUGGGUGACCUCCUGGGAAGUCCUCGUGUUGCAUUCC